This is a long non-coding RNA of Sinocyclocheilus grahami, 1778 nucleotides long. Lineage: Eukaryota; Metazoa; Chordata; Actinopteri; Cypriniformes; Cyprinidae. The record is from Ensembl.
UAUAUGCAAUAGUAAUGUAAUUCAGAUUCUUAAUUCUGCUUUUUUCAGCGAGGUUUUCAGACAGUUACGCCUCGCUACAGAAGACACCAGCUGCUAUAUUAGCCACACAGGGUCGACAAGGCUCUUCAGGGCCACCCGGUAAUGAUGGCUCCCCAGGACCCCCCGGAGAGCCAGGACCUCCAGGUCCCCAAGGGUAUCGAGGGCAGAAAGGGGAACGGGGUCAAUUGGGGUUGGGUCUUCCAGGACCUCCAGGCUCCACAGGUUCACCCGGAAUAGGAUUCCAGGGGCCCCAAGGUCCCCCGGGGUCCCAAGGUCCAGAGGGAAGAUGUAAACCCAGUGACUGCUUCCAUCCAUACGCCAGACGGGAUGGGUAGAAUCUGACACAUCCUCAUCAAACCUGGAAACCAGUGAACCAGCUCAUCUUCACAAGCAUUAAAUCCUAUUAAAACAAACGUCGGAUCCCUGCUGGAGGAGAAGACACACGCAAACUUCUUCCCCACAGAGCAGCCAUUACUGGUGAUGUCAUUUCAUUUCAUCAUUUGUCUCGGUUUCAUUUCCCAUAUUUGUGACCAAUGCAUUUACUCAUUUCCCAUGUUUUGUGAGUAUGACGUGAGAAUUCAACGCUCAUCAUUACACUAAUCACACCGGACAGGUUUAUCAGAGGCGGCACGGUCGAGGCGAAUGCAGGUGAAAUGAGAAUUUACAUUUGCUUAUUUUCUUCAUGAUGUUGUGAAGUCGAGUUUUAAUUAAAGUGCCCCAUUAUGGAUUUUUGAAAAUUAACUUUCAUGCCGUGUGUAACACAGCUCUAAGUGAAUGAAAACAUCCUGCAAAGUUUUAAAUCUGAAAGUGCACAGUGUAUAAAGUUAUUGUCUCUCAAAAUAAAGAGUCGACUCUGAAUCAUUGAAACGAGUCGUUUUUAACGGUCCCCUGAAAUGCUUAGAAACACGCAGCGUUACUCUGUGUUGACGUAAUUUUUAACUGAAACAGGAAGACAAGGCGGGACAUAUCAAGCAGCCCCACCCCUUUUUAAAAUAGCCAAUAGCGUUCGUUUAUAUCACAGCUUGGGCUAGAGCCGUUGAGCUCCGUAAAGCCGCAUUUGACAGGGUAUACGCCAGCCACAAUCUCAUCCAUAUUGCUAUAAAAUAUAGUAUUCUGUGUAGAAUUCAAAUAGCUCCGAUACAUUUUGUGGUCUGCGCCAAACAUUAGCAUAUUGCACGCAGACCCGGGAAAACUUGAAAAUUCAAAUAAAUUCUUUGACACUAGGUGCCGCUUUGGGAGCGGUAAAAAUAACGGUUUCCCCGAUAACGGCUGUACACAAAGCAGCACUGCUCUCACAAACGUUGCUUUAUCACGCAUUACAGGCAUAUGAAAUGGAAAUGAAAUCGACCAAUCGGACCAAUCUCCGCAGAUUAGCAUCACGCAAAGGAGGGGUUUGGAAAAAUGAAUCGUUGAGCGAAUGUUUGGGAGUCGUUGAGCAAGUAAGAUAAAAAUAAAUGCAUAUUAUAAGACAAUUAAAGUGGUUUUUGACCUUGCAUGCAUGUCAACCUGUUUUUGGGGACUCCCAGAACCAAAAUACGAAUCUUUCAUAACCCAUAAUAGGGGCACUUUAAAUUGUGUUGGCGCUAUGCAAUCUAAAAUAGAAAAUGAGUAUGUUAACAAAUAUUAAGUUAAUGUAAAUAACAGAAAAUGUCAUCGUUUUUCAAACAUUUAAUUUUGAAAAAUAUUUAAAGAAGUGUACUUUCCAGCCCUGUGGGAGGAACAUUGCUUGUGAAGGGAGU